GAGCAUCCUGAUUGUGUCUGUGGUGAACAGAGGGCUGAUCUUGAUGACGUCUCACUUUUGUUCUCUCAUUGGCUAACAUACCAGGGUCGAAGGACACAGGGAAGCCAGUUGCCCUCUAUUCUCCCUUCUCACUGGCCACAAUGCUGGCCUUGAGGCCAGGACGGCAGUGUCUGGUGAUCCUGUGCAAAGACCGUGGUGGAUGAGGAGGGAGCCAUCUUGGGACGCAAAUGAAAACCAUGCUCUAGGGAAAGUGGAGCAACAAGGUAGCAGGAACCUGGGCUCCGAUGACUUCUCCGCAGUACUGUCACUUUCCUUCCCACCUCACGGAAGUCUGUGUCACCAAGUCAUCAUGGAUGAUUUCUCCCACCCACAGCCCCCACCCAGUGCCCUCCAAUUCUGCCAUCCUCUCACCCCCCAGGACCCGCGCCACUCACUCAUCCUCCUCCUCCGCCCCCUGCAGCCUCUGCUCCUUCUGCUGCUGCCGACAGAUGAGGAUGCCCGUAGCAGCGACAGCUGUAGCGAUGAUGGCAGCGAUGAUGCCACCAAUGAUGCCACCCGUGGCCCCUGCGCCUGCCGUGUUAGGCAUUUCUGCAAGGAGAAGGACAGUGUGAGGGGAGCUCUUGGAGGAAGCCCCAGCUCCUCAUCCCAGGCCCACCCUUGAGUCACCUCCCACCUGCCUUCCUCUUUUCCCAUGGGAAGGGGACACUGUUCCAUUCAGCUCAUCCUUGCUGAGUGCAAGAAGGAGACUGUGAAGCUGGGCAAAGUGGAGGGGAGAGAGAUGAAGGAAGAAGAUGGAGGAUCAAUUUAAAGGUAGAGAAGCCGAGAAGAUCCUGGGACCAGGAGCAGAGACCCUCAUUCAUGGUUCGGCUCUUCUGUCUUCACCGACUGGGCGAAGGGCAGUGCGGGCCAGGCGCGUCCAGGUCCCCUGUGUCUCCAGCACGGCCCGGCCAGGCGCUGCAGAACACGCGGAGUCCACUCAGGCUGAAAAAGUGCAGCAUGUCCGUCCCCUGCUGGCCCUCAGCCCCGAGAGGGCAUCCUGCGGGUGUCCUUGCUGGAUCUCACGACAGUCUUGGGAGGCAGAUCUGGACACCAGCUCCCUUUUCCGGGAGGCCACAGAGGCUCCAGAGCUGAGUGCCGUAAGUCUGCCCCUUCCUCUCUCAAACUGAGCCUGGCAGUGGAGGACCUUCUCCACCUGGGCAGUGGGAGGGACGCCACUUUGAAUCACUGAGACUCCCCUGGGGCUGGGCCCUGAGCAAGGGGGGAGGAAGGUGGCUGGAAAGGGUCACUGGGAGGGCUGGGAGGUGGGCUUUCCAAGGAUCCCCAGCACCACAGCUGCCCUGUAGCCUCAAGGACCCCCAAAACAGAGGGCAAGUAGCCCUCCCUUCUUCAGGUCCUCAGCAACCCAGAGGGGGUCCUGGCUGGGCUGCCUGCAGUUAGACCGCAGCCCUCUGCCUGCACAUUCUCUCUGAACGCAGGACAUUGGGACCCUGGCUCCUGCCAAUCCCCCUGUCCCCCAGGGGCCCAGGAGUCCAGGUACUCAGCCUAGCUUUCCCAGUGAAUUUGGGCCUUCAGCCAGUUUGGCCACCCCACUUCCAUCCGGAGACCCAGAAGUCCCAACACUCCAGCCUCUAGGCCCCAAAGCCUGUGACCCAAUUCCUAGUCCCACUAGCCUCAGGGGUCGUGGGCGUCCACGUGAUCUGAGCCCCCACAGGCUGCCCCCUAAGGGGCCCAGUACAGUUUUUCCCAACCCCUGGGACUGGGUAGUCCCCAUCCCACCCACUCUUUCCCCAGGACCCAAAGAGGGGGUCUAAUGUACUACAAGACAUCCCUGAAGUUUUCCUCCAAGGCAUUUAUUAACUCCUGA
This is a long non-coding RNA of Marmota monax (woodchuck), 1864 nucleotides long. RefSeq lists it as uncharacterized. NCBI's taxonomy places the organism in Eukaryota, Metazoa, Chordata, Mammalia, Rodentia, Sciuridae. The record is from RefSeq and is a predicted model, not a curated record. The transcript is spliced from 4 exons.